Molecule: ribosomal RNA, 284 nt
Filed under: Anaerobutyricum hallii
Lineage: Bacteria; Bacillati; Bacillota; Clostridia; Lachnospirales; Lachnospiraceae
Description: partial 16S ribosomal RNA
Rfam family: Bacterial small subunit ribosomal RNA
Source: RNAcentral
UCUUUUUUUUGUGUGCCAGCCGCCGCGGUAAUACGUAUGGAGCAAGCGUUAUCCGGAUUUACUGGGUGUAAAGGGUGCGUAGGUGGCAGUGCAAGUCAGAUGUGAAAGGCCGGGGCUCAACCUCGGAGCUGCAUUUGAAACUGCUCGGCUAGAGUACAGGAGAGGCAGGCGGAAUUCCUAGUGUAGCGGUGAAAUGCGUAGAUAUUAGGAGGAACACCAGUGGCGAAGGCGGCCUGCUGGACUGUUACUGACACUGAGGCACGAAAGCGUGGGGAGCAAACAGG